GAAAUGCGAUAAGUAAUGUGAAUUGCAGAAUUCAGUGAAUCAUCGAAUCUUUGAACGCACAUUGCGCCCGCCAGUAUUCUGGCGGGCAUGCCUGUUCGAGCGUCAUUUCAACCCUCAAGCCCUGCUUGGUGUUGGGGCCCUACGCACCGCCGUAGGCCCUGAAAGGUAGUGGCGGGCUCGCUAAAAUCCUGAGCGCAGUAGCACAUCUCGCUUGUUGGUAUUUAGUGGGUACCGGCCGUUAAACCCCCAAAUUUUUAUAAGGUUGACCUCGGAUCAGGUAGGAAUACCCGCUGAACUUAA
This 300-nucleotide unclassified non-coding RNA is filed under the name uncultured Ascomycota. RNAcentral's name for it is "sequence contains ITS1". The stretch from base 1 to 105 matches the Rfam family "5.8S ribosomal RNA", at positions 50 to 154 of the family's 154-position model. Lineage: Eukaryota; Fungi; Ascomycota. The record is from RNAcentral.